This 376-nucleotide ribosomal RNA is filed under the name uncultured bacterium. RNAcentral's name for it is "bacterial SSU rRNA". It matches the Rfam family "Bacterial small subunit ribosomal RNA", at positions 524 to 898 of the family's 1533-position model. The record is from RNAcentral.
UACAGAGGGCUCAAGCGUUAAUCGGAAUCACUGGGCUUAAAGGGUGCGUAGGCGGACCCGUCAGUGUCUUGUGAAAUCCCACGGCUUAACCGUGGAACUGCAGGGCAUACUACGGGUCUUGAACCCGGCAGGGGCAACCGGAACUCUAGGUGGAGCGGUGAAAUGCGUAGAUAUCUAGAGGAACGCCAAAGGCGAAGGCAGGUUGCUGGGCCGGUGUUGACGCUCAGGCACGAAAGCGUGGGGAGCGAACGGGAUUAGAUACCCCGGUAGUCCACGCCCUAAACGAUGUGUACUAGAUCGAGGUGGUUUUGACGCCGUCUCGGUCGGAGCAAAAGUAUUAAGUACACCGCCUGGGGAGUACGGUCGCAAGGCUAAA